UACGGGGGGGGCAAGCGUUGUUCGGAAUUACUGGGCGUAAAGGGCUCGUAGGCGGCCAACUAAGUCAGACGUGAAAUCCCUCGGCUUAACCGGGGAACUGCGUCUGAUACUGGAUGGCUUGAGUUCGGGAGAGGGAUGCGGAAUUCCAGGUGUAGCGGUGAAAUGCGUAGAUAUCUGGAGGAACACCGGUGGCGAAGGCGGCUGUCUGGCCCAAUACUGACGCUCAUGUGCGAAAGCGUGGGGAGCAAACAGG
RNAcentral lists this ribosomal RNA (253 nucleotides) under uncultured bacterium. RNAcentral describes it as "partial 16S ribosomal RNA". It matches the Rfam family "Bacterial small subunit ribosomal RNA", at positions 524 to 776 of the family's 1533-position model. The record is from RNAcentral.